AAUACCUAAUGGCUAUAAAAGAUGCAUCGAUUCAAUGGACGCAUUGACUCGAUUGUUGCAUCGACAAGAAGGUCAUAUUUAUCCUUGUUAUAAACCCGCAACAUAGAGUUUGCGAGAUUACUUUCUUGAUUAAAGUACAAGAGUAUUUCAGUGUUUAUUUAUAAUAACCAUUUUUGGAUAUCCGUUGGGAUAAGUGUUUAACAUUUUGAAAUUCAUGUUCAUACACAAAAUGGUUUAGUAAUAUCGAUACGCAUCAAGCCAAUGAAUAAUUAAUAGUUUUCCCCAUCAUUAUUGGUUUUGGGUCAGAAACCAAAUAGUUUUCAUCUAAAAUCUUUGAAUGUGAAAAGUGCUCCACCACAGCACGCUGAGAUGAACCCUCAAAGGAGGAUAAGUAUACAUGUUGGAUAUGAAUGAUAACUAAGCCAUCCUAGAAGGAUUUAUAUAGCGCUCGUUUUGAACACUAUCAUAUUAUAUAGUCAGCUAUUCCAACAUAAGGGGGAGAAUGUAUACAGCUGGUGAAAAAAGAUAAAAAGAAAUGAAUUAUCAAUGAUCCUCGGAGUAAAGAAUGUAUAUUAAGAGUCCAAAAGAUAAUUUAAUUAUAGAAUUUAGCGUUGUAAUUGCCAGACGCAUUUGCUGACCCAAAUAAAGUGAUGAAGUCACUUAUACCAGUUGUAAAUUAAAUGCUCCAGAAUAUAAUGAGUGUCCUGUAAGGACCAACUUCAAACUGCUAUUGAGUCUUAAGAUCGCAUGAAGCGUAAUAGACCUUGGUUCCAAAUAUAAAUAUCCUCGUAAAAGUGAAGGAGCACAAAAUUAAAAAUGACCAAAUUGAGGAAAUAAAUAUUUUGAUGAUCUCUUGAAGAGAGUGAAUGAUCUCUAAAAGAGACAUAAACAUGACAAAUGAAACAUUCAAGUACUUGACAAUGAAGAGAUCUAGCUAGCUAUGUCAUGUCAAAAUAUAAUGGAAUCAAAAGCAAAUCGACGUCGUAAUAUAUUUGCAUGCUAUGAGCAGUUGAUAUUAUAGACAAAAAGGAGGAUCAUGAAAGAAAGUCUAUUGAAAAGUGUACACAAAGUAAUGAUUAGCCAAAAAAUGGAAAAGAAGAAAUAGACAUAUAAUUAUAAUUUCUAGUAGAGAUAUUUGGACUAGUAGUCUAUGCACAUGAUGUGUAAAACCAGUGGAAAAUAAAUGAGUUUUUAUGUGAAAGAAUAGUGAAAUUAAUGAGAUUUUCACAAAGAUAAGAAAUGUAUGAUGAAGAGAUAUAUUCUCUUGUGGUGGAUGUAAUAUUUUUUAAGUAUCUAAAGUCUGGCAAUAAGAGACGGAACACUGGAUAUGACAUUUAUAUGAAAUUCUUGAAAGAUAUAAUCUCUGAAGAUUAAUUAUAUGAGAAUUAUGUUCUCUAGAACUCUACUCGAUCGAAUAAAAAAA
RNAcentral lists this small RNA (1423 nucleotides) under Arabidopsis thaliana (thale cress). RNAcentral's name for it is "ATSL217330". The record is from RNAcentral. Lineage: Eukaryota; Viridiplantae; Streptophyta; Magnoliopsida; Brassicales; Brassicaceae.